This 440-nucleotide ribosomal RNA is filed under the name uncultured bacterium. Its description in RNAcentral is "partial 16S ribosomal RNA". It matches the Rfam family "Bacterial small subunit ribosomal RNA", at positions 338 to 795 of the family's 1533-position model. The record is from RNAcentral.
CCUACGGGUGGCAGCAGUGGGGGAUAUUGCACAAUGGGGGAAACCCUGAUGCAGCGACGCCGCGUGCGUGAAGAAGUAUUUCGGUAUGUAAAGCUCUAUCAGCAGGGAAGAAAAUGACAGUACCUGACCAAGAAGCCACGGCUAACUACGUGCCAGCAGCCGGGGUAAAACGUAGGGUGCAAGCGUUAUCCGGAUAUACUGGGUGUAAAGGGAGCGUGGACGGUUAUGUAAGUAUGGAGUGAAAGCCCGGGGCCCAACCCCGGGACUGCUUUGGAACCUGGGUAACUGGAGUACAGGAGGGGCAGGCGGAAGUCCGGGUGUAGCGGUGAAAUGCGUAGAUAUCAGGAGGAACACCGGAGGCGAAGGCGGCCUGCUGGACUGAAACUGACGUUGAGGCUCGAAAGCGUGGGGAGCAAACAGGAUUAGAUACCCGGGUAGUC